AUUGAACGCUGGCGGCAUGCCUUACACAUGCAAGUCAAACGGUAACAGGUCUUCGGAUGCUGACGAGUGGCGAACGGGUGAGUAAUACAUCGGAACGUGCCUAGUAGUGGGGGAUAACCACUCGAAAGAGUGGCUAAUACCGCAUGAGAUCUACGGAUGAAAGCAGGGGAUCGCAAGACCUUGUGCUACUAGAGCGGCCGAUGGCAGAUUAGGUAGUUGGUGGGAUAAAAGCUUACCAAGCCGACGAUCUGUAGCUGGUCUGAGAGGACGAUCAGCCACACUGGGACUGAGAAACGGCCCAGACUCCUACGGGAGGCAGCAGUGGGGAAUUUUGGACAAUGGGCGCAAGCCUGAUCCAGCAAUGCCGCGUGCAGGAUGAAGGCCUUCGGGUUGUAAACUGCUUUUGUACGGAACGAAAAGCCCCGGGUUAAUACCCUGGGGUCAUGACGGUACCGUAAGAAUAAGCACCGGCUAACUACGUGCCAGCCGCCGCCGUAA
This 498-nucleotide ribosomal RNA is filed under the name uncultured bacterium. RNAcentral's name for it is "partial 16S ribosomal RNA". It matches the Rfam family "Bacterial small subunit ribosomal RNA", at positions 30 to 523 of the family's 1533-position model. The record is from RNAcentral.